RNAcentral lists this transfer RNA (67 nucleotides) under Monocellicampa pruni. RNAcentral's name for it is "tRNA-Asn". The record is from RNAcentral. Lineage: Eukaryota; Metazoa; Arthropoda; Insecta; Hymenoptera; Tenthredinidae.
UUAAUUGAAGCCAAAAAGGCGGCUUAUUAUUGUUAAUAAUACCAUUGAAGUAAAUAUUCCAAUUAAA